UUGGGACUUUAUCUCUACAGUUAUGCCGUAACCCAGAUAGCUGCAGUAAACGAAUCCCAGAUAUCAAAUCCACGUUCUUUUGCAGAGUGGAAUGGUCAAGAUUGGCAUAAUCGCUUUUCUAGCUCCAUGUCUCAUCCCAUUUUGAAAGCGUGGGAAAUUC
RNAcentral lists this small nucleolar RNA (160 nucleotides) under Lachancea fermentati. Lineage: Eukaryota; Fungi; Ascomycota; Saccharomycetes; Saccharomycetales; Saccharomycetaceae. The record is from RNAcentral.